RNAcentral lists this ribosomal RNA (517 nucleotides) under uncultured bacterium. RNAcentral describes it as "bacterial SSU rRNA". It matches the Rfam family "Bacterial small subunit ribosomal RNA", at positions 992 to 1509 of the family's 1533-position model. The record is from RNAcentral.
AGAACUUAGCAGAGAUGCUUUGGUGCCUUCGGGAACUCUGAGACAGGUGCUGCAUGGCUGUCGUCAGCUCGUGUUGUGAAAUGUUGGGUUAAGUCCCGCAACGAGCGCAACCCUUAUCCUUUGUUGCCAGCGGUCCGGCCGGGAACUCAAAGGAGACUGCCAGUGAUAAACUGGAGGAAGGUGGGGAUGACGUCAAGUCAUCAUGGCCCUUACGAGUAGGGCUACACACGUGCUACAAUGGCGCAUACAAAGAGAAGCGACCUCGCGAGAGCAAGCGGACCUCAUAAAGUGUGUCGUAGUCCGGAUUGGAGUCUGCAACUCGACUCCAUGAAGUCGGAAUCGCUAGUAAUCGUAGAUCAGAAUGCUACGGUGAAUACGUUCCCGGGCCUUGUACACACCGCCCGUCACACCAUGGGAGUGGGUUGCAAAAGAAGUAGGUAGCUUAACCUUCGGGAGGGCGCUUACCACUUUGUGAUUCAUGACUGGGGUGAAGUCGUAACAAGGUAGGCGUAGCGAG